This is a long non-coding RNA of Entelurus aequoreus (snake pipefish), 14627 nucleotides long. RefSeq lists it as uncharacterized. Lineage: Eukaryota; Metazoa; Chordata; Actinopteri; Syngnathiformes; Syngnathidae. The record is from RefSeq and is a predicted model, not a curated record. The transcript is spliced from 7 exons.
GCCAGGUGGGGGCACCCUUUCUAACUAUGCAAGUUGGUUAUUGAAAUGUAAAACCUAAUUUCUGUAUAAGCCAUACUAUACACGGUAUGAACUGUGAAGUAUUGUUUUAAUGUCCAGAGCAAAGUUAGAUUGGGUGUGUACGAUAGCUAUUCUCAAAAGACGACCAUUUUAAGCUUGUGGUCGAAUAUUUUGUCAUAUCCCAUCUGGCAACACCGCACCUCAUCAGCACAUAAUUCAGAAAAGGAUCAUUUUGCAGUAUUGCUGCAGCUCACUCGCUGUCAGCUCCUGUGGACGAGAUGCCAAUGGCCAGGAAGCGGAGGUGCAACCAGACGUGUCCUGCUCAACUUCUUUGGCCUGGAUAUUCAGGCCAAGAGCAUGACUGUAGGACGGAGGGCACACCUGACACAAGAGGCAGGCUGGAGGUUCGCUGGCGCUGAUCAAGCAACACAUGACAGCACCAUCACCAUCAAAUCACAGCAGAAGAGAUGGUGAGGGUGAAAAAUUAGUUGCUUUAGAAAGGACCAACCUGUGCUCCUCUUUUUCUGAGGAUGAAGAAAAUGAGGACGAUGUCAACCUCUGCAUCCUGGUAAGUUUGGAUCGUUGGCGCCGGCUGGUUGUAGCCACAGGGAGUUCUGGGUAAUCUUCCCUUGUAAGGCCUACAACUGAAUCAUCUUCUAUUGUAGCUUGAAGUAUCUCUAAUGCUUCCUCCCUGGAGGCGAGUUCUAGUCCACUUCCUGUAGGUUCUGCUUGAGCUUGUUCACCUGAUCCUGGGCUCUCAUCUUCAUCUGUAUCCAUACUUAGAGCCUCCUCUUGCUCACACUGUCCUUUCCCUGUUGUAUAUCCCACUUCCUCAUGGUCUAAUCCCGAUUCUCUGGAAUUUCUUAUCAUCUGUUCUUGGUAGUAGACAUGGAUGGCCUCUCUGGAUGGCACUUGACCCUGAGGAAACAAGCGGGAGACAAUCCACGACCAAACAUAAGCUGUGCUGCUAUAUAUAUAUUUUUUUUAUCAGCAUCGUCAUUGAGCCCUACCUGCUUGGCCUGCUGGGUCAGCAUGCAGCGCUCCAUUCGGAGGACGGUGGAAAUGUCGACGUGUUCUCGACACAAACCACAGAGCCAAGAGGUCAACGAGUCCAGCAGAGCUGACAACAGAACCCAGCAAAAGCGAAGAAUGCUGGAGACCCGAUGUAGGAUGGUAUCUCAAAAGUGAAAGAUGACUUGAGGUCAGUUUUUGGUGCAUUUUCAAUAGCAUAUACAGAAAGACAUUGCUGAGCUUCUCCCUGUACCUGGUCCAUCCUCCUUGUCUUCAUCUCCGUCCUCCUCCGACUCCUCCAUCACUUCAGUAGAUCCAUAUGCUAAAGUCACAACUGUAUGAUGAAAUAGCAAAGAAGAUGCACUGCUGCAUAGUAAAAUACAUUCAAGUUCUUCCUCACUUGCUGUCUUUUCUCCCCUCCGUUCUUCACUCGAGUUCUUCUUCCACAGUUUCUUUUGACUGUGACGAGCUCUCAAUGCUGUUCUGGAGUCAGUUAUCCAGGCGUGAUAGACAAACUGAACCACCACAAGUUAGACAUUUUGUGACACUCAGCAGACACCAUUAAAAAAAUGGUCACCUACCUGGAAAGCGGACUUCUCAGGAUGUUUCUCUUCCUCCUCCACCUGCUCCCUUUUAUCCUCUUCCUCCUCCUCACUGUCGCUCUCAAACAGAAAGUAGUCGCCACUCCUUACCACUGCAGGACACACAGCAUUAAAAGUAAAUUUGCGAGAAGUGCAGUGGUAACUUUUAAGGAUCAUUUGACUCACUGGAGGCAUGGUUCACCCAGGGUCUCCACCAAUCGCCAUGAUGCCGCCCUUUUGACUUUUCAUGUGCUGAAUGUUAAAACAACAAAACAUUUGGUGCUUGUUUGGCUUGUUACCAAGGCAAUUAAGAAGCUUACACACCAUCACUAUGAAUGCUCUUUUGCGUCAAACUGAGCAUUUUCUCUUUUCCUCUGCGAAACUUCUGCUGGCGAGAUUUAAUCCUCUCCAUCCUGUGACAAAAACAAGUCACACACGUCAGGGUGUUUUCUUUCGACCGGGUUGGGGUGGUAGAGUGGAAAGAAGUCUUACUGUCUCUUCAGCAAGUCCAUGGACAUCUUCUCCACCUCCAGUCUCGCUCGUACCGCUUUCACAGUGGACGCUUCAAAAAGCUCUGCCCCUCUACAAAACAAAAGACUUAUUAAGCACCUGUAUUGUACGUGCAUACUGUACGUGUGUAUGUUACCUGGAGGCUAGCACUUGCGUGUUUUGCAGGUCCAGGACCACAUACAGGAAGUAGUGACUUCUAAAAACCCUUCGCUGCAGCAACAGGAAGCAGAAACACACACCAUCCCAGAUAAUCCCUGCCUCGUCGCUUGGCAGCUCACACUGCUUACUGCUCUGCUGCUCCGCUGGAGAGGCAACAUGUAAGUGAACAAAGGAGAAGACAACAAGGACAUCAUGACUGACUGACGAACGGUGUACAUACGUUUAGUGUAUCCUCGGAUGGUGCACGCCAGACUGAAGAGCUGGACCAGCCAACAGUGGUUCACAACCAGCGACUUGAUGAAACCGCAUGCCAGGAUCUGGAGCAGGUCAACAAACAGUCAUUCAGAAGUUUUUCAGAGCAAUCACCUUAAGACAAGAACAAGGUUUUCAGCACAUACAGAAAGGAUGUUCUUCAUGGUGAUGACAAAGAUAUUGUAGCCGAUCAGACAGUCCCAGUAAACCAGGAUGGAGCUGACAGGUUUCAGCAGCAAGUCUCCGCCCACCAAAAGGAAGUAAAAACAUGCCACCAGGUAACCCAUACAGAAGAUGCUGAUCCUGGAACAGGAAGUUAGAACAUGUAAUACUGAAACUUGGGCAUCUACAUGAACAAUAUGAUUUGCCUGAGAAGCUGGCCAGGACAAAAAAAAAAAAAAGUAAUACUGAAACUUCCUGAAUGUUUUGUACUAUCUUACCUUGUGGUCCCAGUGAUGAAGAUUAUAGUGAGGACAAACCAGAACAUGUAGCAGAAAAUAAUGAUCUUCAUCAUAUCGAGGUAGGACCUGUGAACGUAAGUCAGAUGUCAAACACACAUUCAAAGUGAAGACAGACAGAAACUGUCCAGUGCUUACCUGCACAGCAUGAAGUCAGGGACGGUGCUGAGACGAAGCCUCAUGACUGGAUCCCAGGCCUGUCCGUCUUCUGCGUCCAGCUCGCCGUUGUCCCCCGCCAGCGUCUGGACACCGGCAUCAAGUUCAUCCUCGAACACCUGAAGCUGCAGUGAGGCACCCAGCAGAAGCAGGAAGUCGUCUGGAUGACACAACAUUUUUUCCCCCGCAUUUAAGUCAAUCACGUUCCACUAUGGUGAGGAUGAAGAUAGUCUUACAGAGGAGGAAGAGUGGAUUUGGUGGAGUUAGAUGAUCUGGGAGGAAAAGCCAUUUUACUACGUUGGAGUCCAUGUUGGAUGUCGGUGGUCGCCAUGGAUAAUCUGAAAUAAAAUAGUUAUUUAUAAACAAAAUAUAGAAGCAAAAUCUUCUGGUUUGCUACAUAGUGGUGAGAUAAUACCUUUGCAGGCAGCAGGAGGGAAUCCAAUGCACAGCAGAUACUGGAAACAUAGUAGCGCUGACAGGAAGUAGCAGUACUUGGGCCACACUGCACUAAUCCGCUUCCUGCUGCGCCUUGAUAGGACGCUGAUGAGCCCAAAAGCGUGGCCGACAGCGAACAGAUCCAUUCGCUGACCAAUCACAUUAACUGCCAACAGAAAGCAAGUCUGAAAAGCAAAAGACAAGUCAUUUUUGAAGACUCUUUGACUUAGCUGCUAUGCCAAUAUUUACACACCUCCAGGCCAAACUUGUAAAAGAAGUAAUUGAGGAAAUAUUUGGAGCAGCUCAGCAUGUUUUCAUCUAAAUGACGCCUAGUGAUGUCAUGGAACAAUGUUCUUGUCAGAGGCGGAACUUUGUUGCAGCGGAGACGGUAGAGCUCCUGGUGUCUGUAAACCGUCACCUCAAAAGCUAACAGCGCGAGCAUCAUCAGGUUGUACUGUGAAGAAAAGUAAAAGUAAAAUCAAGCUAUCUGGUAAGCGCUUGUGUAAUGCCACUUCUCACCCUCAGGUAGUCGAGCAGUUUUCCCUCAGAUUUGCGAAGGCCAACCCACUGGGCGGGAUCAAUUGGACUGGAGUACAAUACCGAGCGAGAAAGAUUGGUAGAGGAGUUGCUUGGCUGGAGACAGACAGACAUGUCAGUACAACACUCAUUGAGACAAUCAAUGCCAUAGAAGAAGAGGUUACCGUGCUGCAGUUGCAGGUGUUGGGCUGGACAACGUUGAGCUGGUACAACAUCUUACAAACUGCCACCACACAGGUCCACACUGUACACAUCCCCGACAACAGGGGGCGCCAGGCCCUGCAGGGAAGAGCCACUCCCACACACACCACAAACAGUAGGUUGAACAUACACACCUGGGGACGGAUCAUGAGAGGCAGGUCAGAGAAAGGCACACAGUACAUGAGACUUUUGAAAAGAUCAAGAACCUCUUUCACUGAGAUCCAAAUCAUGUAGGAGGAGACGAUUUUGACAAUAUGAAGUUCCAGCAGCCACCAGAGGAGGCGCUGCAAACGCUGCAGAGACAGAAGGAGGCGCAGGAACAAGACAGACAGUCGAUCGACUACCAACCUCCAGGACACCAACACUGAGGAGAGACCAGGUGUAAAUUAGCAGUUCUUGUCCAUUUACUAUUUUCUUAGCCAGCAUGCCUGUGAUGUGGUCAGACAAGGUGUCCUCCUCAAACAUAGAGGGGUACUUUUUUUCCUCUUCUUCUGGUUUCUGCUUCUCCUCAAUCUCUUCUUCCUCUUUUUCUAUCAGGAUUCCUCCUUCAUCCUCCUCUAGAGGGAGCUGAGAAGCACCUCCCACUGACAGAUCCACAAGGCUGCCCUCACUGUGAACCAACCUGAAUCCAAACUCAGCAGUUGAAAUAUUUUAUUUUAUAACGCAGGUGACAUACCACUGAUGGUUGAGGUUUGCGUGCUACCUGGUAAUGGUGCUGUUGUGCGUGUCUACCACUGUUUUGAGGUCAGUCAGCAGGAGAAAGGGCUUGUGGAAGUAGUGCAGGUGUACGAUGCACACCUUUCAGAAAAUCGAACAGUUUUAGCAUUAGCUUUAGCAUUAGUGCAGUCUAGUAAUGUUUGUCAAUCAGUACCAGUAGAAACGCUGUGGGAAUGAAAAUCCUGGUGAAUAGAACUGGAACGGAGAAUUUCUCCAAACCCAAAUCCUCCAAUCUGCAAGGACAGAAAACAAGAUAAAUUACAGACAGGUCCUACAAAGUACUGCUUCUUGCCUAAUGACUUGCACGAACCUGUGAGUGCUGAGUCCAGUGUAGUAGCUCCAGGUGUGAAGGGACGAGGGGAACUGGAAAGUGUAGACUAGAAUGAGAACCAACAUGGAGUACACCACUACGGCUACCCAGAAGCCUCGCAACAAGGCCCGCCAUUUUUCAUAGUUCAGCUACAGAGACAAAGAGAACAAACAGAAUUAGAUCUGUGUUUUAAAUAUUCAAACCAUCAGAAGUGGUACCUGGUAGAGGGCAACACAGCACAGAAACAUCACCAUGUAGAUGACCUUAUAGAGGACGAUUUUGCCUUCAAAACUGACAAAGAAAAACAUUGUUCCACAGACAUAGAUCCAGUAUUUGACAAACAUCCUGGUCACAACGGCUACAAGGGCCUCCAUCUGAACUCCUCCGCUCAACAGAAGCAGCUUCUCAUAGGAAAUCUCUUGUAUCUUCUCUUGCUCUGCCUUCUGAUCAUCUGGAGGCCAAGACGCGGGAAGAUAGAUCAGCAGAGAGGCCAUCAAAAAACAGACAGGUAGGUGUGUUACCUUUGAUAUGGAUGGUUAUGGCAGACAGCUGCGACUGCGUCUCUGUGUCUUUCUGUCUUUCUUUCUUCUCUGUAAGUGCUUGACGCAGCAGCAGCCAGAACGUCAACAAACACAUCAGCUGCAACAAUGAGAUCAGAUCUAAGUACAGCGUCUGGCCAAUACCAAGUACUCAAGUGUGCGUUCGAGUCUCCUGACCUUGGAGGCAAGCUCUCUGCAGGGAUCGUCUUUUUUCGGGAAUAGUCCAGGGACUUCACGGACAGCAGCAAAGCUGUGGAUGUACUGCAGGAUCAGAAGCAGGUUGCCAUAGGCGACCAGCCAUGGUGAAGACAUGAGAGUAUAGCGGCGGCGCUCACGCAUCAUCCAGAGCGCACAUGACCAGAUGAGCAGCACACACGUCAUCCACGACACAUAUGUGAUGGACCAUGCCAUCAUGGCAAUCAAAGCGCCGAUAUAACUCUGCUUGAGCAGGAAGCCGAAGGCCAUGGAAGCCACACCCGCACCCGGUGCUUCUGCCACCUCUCCCCAUGCGUCAGCAUCUGCUUCAAAGGCACAGGUUUCCAAAGUGUCUGUGACAUGGAGCAGAAGGGAAGUGUCAAUUUUAGCGUUCACUGUAAAACACCUUGACUGCAGUUAGAACAUGCGCUCACCUGAUUGGCUAAGGGAGUAGUGAGGUGUGUCCAACUCAAGGGCUGUGCUUUGUGUGGGCUGGGCCAAAGACUCAGAGGGACUGUCGUAAGUGGAAGUAUCCAAAACCUGAAAAAGUGACAACAAUUUAUUUACAAAGACACCUAAGACAAGUCUAAAUCAGGUUAAUAAUGUCCAAACUUUACAUCUUUGUAGCCCCGCCCAUCAUGAGCUUCCCUCCACAGCUCUCUACGCCUCUCCGCUGUGAUAUCACUGCUGACCUCAUCACUGAUAAAGCUUGUGGCAGUUAGGAUGUCACAACUACCGGGAUCCGCUGAUUCCGUCUUGUCUGCACUCUGUGCCCUUUUCCCAGCAAUCAACUGAAGAAUGACACCAAAUAUUAUGUUUACCGUAAGAACCAUGUGAUGCUUCUCAGUCAAUAAGGACUAGGUGUAAUAAAACCCAGAGUGGUAAGGACAUCACCUGGUUCCUCCAGAGACUGGCGACCGUGUGGAAGAGCAGCAACAACAUCAGAGGACUGACAAAAUGAAACCAGCUAAGCUCUGGGUUCACUUGCAUUCUCCAGGGGGCGGCGCAGUCCACCGACACCAGAGGCAGCAUGCCAAACACACUGCAGGAUAAUCAUCAUCAAUAAUUCAUUAUUAGCAUCAAUAAUAAGAACAUCGUCUGAACUGAAAAGGGCGAGGAGAAAGAAGAUUUGGUGAAGGUCAGCUCCUCAUCCCUUGGGUUUGUCUACUCUCGUUACCUUGCGGAGGUGUGGUUGGGAAGCCACGCCUCCUGCAGUGAUGGCAGCUGGUAGGAGUACACAAGCAAGAAGUGGCAGGAAGAGUAGACCAGUGACAUCACGGACAAACACCUGAAGAUGAGGGGUGGGACCCAACCAGACCUUGCCCACCAGGUACAAACCACUUGGAAACACAGCAGGUAGGGGAGGGAGGAAAGGGACGGUAGCACGAUGCCUGGAAUAGUGGGAGAAGGAUGGGGUGUGAAAGAGAAUGGUUCUACGUCAGCGUCUUAUUGGUUCUGUGUUAAUGUCUCACUGGUCUACAUUCGUUACUCACUGGUACUACUGAUUUUAGUGUCAGUGUCACUGGUUCAGCAUUGUGUCUGAUUAGUUAUAUGCCAGUGAUUUACUAAUCCUUACAGUUCUAAAUCAGAGUCUAACUAACUGGUUCUGUGUUAGUCCCUCAUCCGUGAUUCUACUGACUACAGGUUCUAAGUCACUGUGUCACUGGACUAAGUCAGUGACUUAAAGAUUCUACUGGUUCAAUUUAAGUGCCCUGUGGGUUCUGCGGGUUUUAUGGCACUGUUGCAUGGGUUCUGCAGGUUUGUCGGUGUUUUAUGGGUUGUGAUGCUUCUAACAAGCGAUCUCAAUGGUUCUACGGAAUCUAUACGAGUAUCUCACUGGUUCCACUGCAUUUAUGUCAGUGUGUAAUGGACUUUACUGGUUCUAACGGACUAUCUCACUGUUUGCACGGAAUCUAAGUGAUUAUCUUACUGGUACCACUGAUUUUAUGUCAGUGUUUCACAGGGUUCUACUGGUUCUAACUGACUAUUUCACUGGUUCUAUGGAUUCAAUAUGAGUAUCUCACUAGUUGCACUGCUUUUAUGUCAGUGUCUCAUGGGUUCUACUGGUUCUCACGGAGUAUCCCAUUGGUUCUGUGUGAGUCCCUUUGUGGUUUCACUGGUUUUGUGUCAGCGUAUCAUGAGUUGUACUGGUUCAAAGUCAGUGUCUCAAUGGCCAUACUGGUGUUACCUGUGAGUCCAAGCAAAACUGUGAGCAGAACUUUCCCUCCAGUGGUCAUCAUGUUUGCGAGCAUUAGCCUAGUUUUGCAGACCAAUACUUCCAGUUCAGCCAGAAUGCGGUUCCUUUUGGUUCCCUCUUCUUCCUCUUGAAAAACCUGAUCAUCCUGAGGUCCGUGCUGCUGGGGACACAGAAAAUUAGGGUUCUUGAAUGAUCAACAACAAAUUGGAUCGAAGUUAGUGAGAAGCAUGAUUUUGAUAUCAGUUGAUCACGUGGUUGAUUUUUGUCAGUUAAAUGUCCUUUUUAAGGUUCUACAACAAAAUGAAUGAUGACUGGACUCAUGUUAAGUGACUCCAAGAGGACGACAUAUUGAGCCAGAAACCUGAUCACUAUUCUCUAUGUGUCACCUAACAAGGUUACCUUUAAUAAAUUGCUUACAGAGUUACACAAUAAUAGACAAGAAACCUCAUUAAGAAAUGAGAAGAGACGACUUACAAGGUUAUAUACCCGUUUCAGUCGUGUCUGUGUGUGUUUGUGUGUCGGCGUGUGUGUGUGUGUGUGAGAGAGAGAGAGAGAGACCUGCAUGUGUGUUUCAGGGGUCAAUCUCAGGCUCAGCCUCCAUGUCACCAGGCCGACAACCAGCACGCCAACAUCUGGAAGGAUGUGUCGCACAGCGGAGGCCACAUCACUUCCUCCAUACUGAUCGAUUACCUGCGCCCUGGGACGUGCUGGGUUCCGGCAGCAGGGGCAGCAGGAGCAACAGGAGGACGUAAACCAGCGAGAAGCCGUUAAAACGCAGCAAAGCAGCUGUGAAGACAUGAUGACCAACAGAAAGUGUCUGUCAUUAGAAAACACCAAGGAAGAGUGUGUCGCCUUGUUUUGCUUCCCAUAGCUCCCACCCCCACUUUCUCAGUACCAAAACAACCAACCUGCGGUCAAGCUGAGGGGCAGCAGGACCCUAAAGAGAAGACCCACCACCAAUGGACCGCAGGACAUCCUGGAUCCAGUUCUUGCAGCAGGCCCGUCCUGCUUGUUUUGGUUCUGGUUCUGGUUCAGUCCCCCAAGAAGAGGCGGACUGUCAGAGGUCUUGGUGGCCGCCGGCCGAACAAGGAGUCCGCCUGAAGGCGACCACACACCCCGGUGUCAUCCUCCACAGACACACGCAAUGAGUCACACCGACCCAAUGUCUGACCCGCUUUUAAAGGUCCAAGUGCGUCCGUCCAUCAACAUCCAAAAACUGCACCCUGGUCAAGUCCACUUCAGCCAGACGACAUCCUUUUGCUCUUUGAACGGUUGCGGUGUUAUGGAGAAACUCACCUGCAUACUACACCCCCACCCCAGUGCCCCGCCUCAUUAGUGCAAUGGUUGCUUGUCUUAGGGGGAUUUCAAUGUUUUCCUUCUUGUGUCUCUUUGGCAACCAGACAACACACCUUGUUCUUCUUUUAGAUCAAAAGCCAAAUAAAGCCAUUUGGAGAUUGGACUGUUUGUCUCACUACAGGACAAAAUGAUCACUGACCACCUUGGGAAAAAAAUGGUCCAUGGACUGUUUCUUCCAGGCUGUCCUACAAUUCACAGAUACUGUCAAACUCGUCCCAUUGAUGUAAAACACUACUAAACUUAUUUAGGUUCUGGAACGGUUUGUCAUCCAGGACCAUUGGGCCAGGUAUUCUGGUGUAGUGUGUUAUAGAAUAUCCCUAGGAGUGUUACCGUAGUUACUGAAGCAAGGUGCACCAAUAAAUAGAUGAAUCGGCCCAAUAUUCAUAGGCCAACAGGAAAACUCCCAGUACACCCGUGUAGUACGGGUAGUAAUGCUUGAGUUACAUUUACUUUUUGGAUGAAUUGUACUUGUUAGAGUAGUUUUAACGCAACAUACUUUUUACAUAUAUUUGUGAAGAAACACUACUUUUACUUAAAUCACAUUAAGUUCCAUUACAAUCACUAUAUUUAUAAUCUAUUGAUUGCUACUUGCGUAGACAAGUUGUUUGGCUCGUUAAAGAGACUUCUUACAAGAGGUAUGGUCAUAUGAAUGUUUCACCAAUCUAACAUGGGCACUAUGGGAUAGAACUUUGUUCUCAUUGCACUUAAAAAGUACAGCGAAAAACUUUAAUCAGUACAAACUCGUCCAAGAACAUACAGUAUUCAGGGAACAGGAAAACUGAUGGAUCGCUACUAGGGCAGUGCUCCAUAAAAAAGAAAGGAAAAAAGGUAAACAUGGGGUAGGAGAAGAAAAGCAAAUCCCAAACUAAGCUCUUAUUGGUGGUGGCGCUUAGUUUGAGACCAGCAAAAAUAUUUGACUCCAUCUCACCAAACGGAGCCUGAUCGUCACAUGCCCGCACGACCGUCACCCCCUUUUUAAAAAAUGUUUACUUACAAACUAAAUAAAUCAGAAGUUACUCUACAGUUAAUUAGAACUUGAGUAGUUUUUUCACUGAAUACCUACUGAAGUAAUUGUUUACAAUUUUUGGCUACUUUACCCACCUCUGAAUAGUACAUAUUGCAGCCUUGUCAUCAGCUAGUGAGUUACCAUGGUUACAGACGACUUACACCAGACUUGGGCAUUCUGCGGCCCGCGGGCCACAUCCGGCCCUUUGUGUGUCCCUGUCCGGCCCGCGUGAGGCCAAUCAUAAAUUACUAAAUACAUUUGAAAAAGUAUCUAUGUCGAGUGUGCAAUACAACGGUGCUGCUUUUGUUUUGAAAAGCGUUAUUUGUAUUACUUCCGUGUGGACUUAUGCACAUGCUGAUUGUGAGUGAAUGUGAACAGCUGCAAUCACAAAUUACAAAAUAAAGUUUAAAAAACAUCUAUGUGGUGCGCGCAAUACAACUGUGCUGCUUUUAUUUUGAAAAGUGUUAUUCAUGGGUGUAUGUCCGAGUGUAACCUGUGAGUGAAGGUGCACAGCGACAAGUGAUGCACGGUUUACCCCCGAGACGCUAAAAAGAGAAAAGUUGAUGACGAAUGCCGUGUUUUCAACAAGACAUGGACUGCCAAGCAACGUUUCCUCAAAAGUGCGCGCCUGCGCAAUUGCGCACCACUCAUGCAUCCUCUGCGCACAGCAAAUUAAUGCCGCGCAGGAAAUCAAAAAUCCCAUCUGAACUUUAAACAAAAUAAACACAUUACAAUUUAUUCUGUAUGAUUUUGCAAUGCAACUCUGUGAGUGACAUGUGACAACAAGAGUGGCCCCAAUGAAUAAAACAAUCUUUUCAACACAGUUCAGUCAUCGUCUGUCGAGACACUUUACGGACAGGAAUUCCAUCAGUCACUUUAUUAAGCAAAACUGUUUGUAACCACACCAAAAACAUGAGUAAAAAAAACUUAUCUAUAAAAACUGGUAAUUUUCUGCCAUACAAACCAGGCUUAAACCAACUUUGUUAUCCGUCGUUUCAACAGAAGCCGCUCGCUCGGUCACCUGCACCAACACACGCACUCAUGGCACUUAGCCAGUGCUGCGUUUAUGGCCACACAAAAAGUCGGACAACCCCAACGCCACACAAUGUGUAAAUGCCAGGUUGUAGCACUCUGACUCCACAAUCAGAUGUGUGCUUAUUUUACUGCCAUUUAUUAAGAAUGUUAAUCUAAGGAUAUUAUUCUUGAAAUAUUGUCACUAGAUUUCAUAAAUGCUAAUUAAAAGAUGUAUUUUACAGACAGAAAGUUACAGGAACUAAAUGUAAUCUCUGAAAGGGGUAACAUUUCUUUUAAAGGCAGGACCCGCAGCCAGACAUACAAUACUAGCACAUAGGUCAUGAAAAACAUGUUUUUUUGUUAUUGUCAUUGUAAGAGGGAAAAAUCAGUUAUAUCAGAAAAUAAUUUUAAUAAAACAUUUAAAUUGUUGUCAGGUUUGGGACAGGUGUGACGCUGGUGUGGCCACAGUGUGCACGUCUGAUGUUGCUCACAUGUGCUCCACUGAAUGCACAGGGAGUUUGUGCGUUUGCUCACACACAUGAAAAAUUAGAGGGAACAUUGCUGCCAAGUAUUUCUUUACAGAAAUUAAAGGUAAAGCCGUGUGCUUAAUUUGUGGUACACAUGUUGCUGUGUUUAAAGAAUAUCAUUUGAAUCGCCACUACAUGACGAAGCACGACGAAAAAUACCGGAAUCUGUCCAAUGACGCGCGCGCAAGCGAGGCUGAUGCGUUGAUGGUAAAACUGCAAACCCAACAAAGGACUUUUUGCCAAAUUUCACACCCCCAGAAUGCAGCCGUCAGGACAAGUUUUGUCAUUUCUCACAAAAUCGCCAGAAAAAGUAAGGCGUUUUCUGACGGAGAGUUUAUUAAGGAGUGCUUAUUGGACUAUGUUGCGCUGAUAUGCCCUGAAAGUUGGAGCUUCAGCUGAAGAACAGAAUGGCCGACUUUGACUGUUUUUCGCUUGCUUUGGAUGAGAGCUGGUUGAUGUGCGUGACACCGCCCAGCUGCUCAUCUUCUUACGUGGGAUAACUGCAGACUUUCAUAUCACGGAAGAGAUGGCAGCCAUGCAGUCAAUUAAAAGGGAGAACCACAGGUAAUGACUUGUUCACAUACUGUAGGUAAAUGUGUGUUUGGACUGAAAUGGGACAAGCUGGCAGGUGUGACAACAGAUGGUUGUCCAAAUCUGACGGGGAAAAAUGUUGGACUUUUAAAGAGGAUGCAGGAUAAACUUUAAAUUAACCCUGUGCAGAAAUUGACAUUUUUGCAUUGUAUUAUACAUCAGGAAGUGUAGUGUAAGACAGUGUUAAAAAUAAAACCAUCUAAAGCAAUCUGCUUUUAGUAUAAAGUUAGGUUAAAUGAAGUAUUAUUUAUUUAUCUUACAGUAUAUCAAAAAGUAAUAUUGAGCAAAAUUUAAUUGAAAUAUUGUCGAUGUGGCCCUCCAGCAGUGCUCGGGUUGCUCAUGCAGCCCCCGGUAAAAAUUAAUUGCCCACCCCCGACUUACACAUUAACUUUGUUGACAUGAUUAUAAGUGUUUACAAACAUUGCCUGAAUAACAAAGUCCAAUACAAGGUAGGAUUUAUUGCAUCAGCAUUUCCUCAUUGGCUGGACGACGGCUCCGCCCUUGCAUCUUCUAAGGAUCUCAACCUGGUGGGAACACAGACAAUCUUUUAGAUCAGCUCAAGUUAAACGGCGUUAAAAGAAGUCACACUGACCGCUGGUGGUGUUGGUCGCAGAAGUCGGACAGUCUCUUUAUCUCCGUCUGGAAAAAACCCUAAGACAAGGAAUCAGCACCUCAGGAAUGAUAAUGAUAACGAUGUAGUCAAAUGGUGCUCGGAUUAUUACUAGAAUCUGAGAGCACAUGUUGUUAAGGUUGGUCGAGUUUUCCUCCAAACACUUGAGCUGGUCUGCGAUGGAAUUUUCAAAGCUCUGCAUCAGAAUCAACCUAAAAUAUAUCACACAUGAGGUCCAUCAUUAUGCAAAAUUGACUUGUAAAUGCUGCGAUUAGGUGGUGACUUGUCCAGGGUGUACCCCGCCUUCCGCCCGAAUGCAGCUGAGAUAGGCUCCAGCACCCCCCGCGACCCCAAAACGGUCAAGCGGUAGAAAAUGGAUGGAUGGAUGGACUUUUAAAUGAUCUAACAGUACAGUGGGUCUGGGUUUUGCCUCAUCCCUCAAAGCUUCGAAGAAUUCACUAGCACCCUGACAAGUCAGAAAGAGAAAUAGAUACAUUAUCUGCUCAGAUGCUACCUGGUGGAUGUUUGAGCACACUGGAUAGUCCCACUCCUUAUACUUCAGUCACACGCCAGAUAAGGCAAAAAUACAACUUUACCUACUGUAUGUGUCCUUAGAGCACCAAACAUGAUUAAACUACUUCUGUAAGCUUAACUGCACAUGUUAAAAUGCAGCCUGUUUGUCUGCUAACACGCCAUCAAUCAUCUGCAGACGUGGGAGUUGUGAGUUUGAGCAUUUCAGAAUUAGUUUUAUUGGCCAAGUAUGUUUAAGACACAAUGAAUAAGACUUGGUACUGUGCUUUCUUUGCUCAAGGCGAGAAAGAGAAAAACGUAACAAGAUUUAGUUUUACUUUGGUAAAUAUGCUAACCUAGUUUGACGUUGCUGUUAAAAUGUGAGUGUAAUGUUAGCAUAUACCUCACCUAGCUAUGUUAGUGUCACCAACAUUCAUGUCCCCCUGUUCCACGCCUUAUGUAAAACGUGACAUCUAUCACGUUGGACAGAGUUACAGUGUAUGUAAGAAGUGGAUAAAGUAAACAGUGCUCCUUGGAGACCCUGUUGGCCAAUCAGCUCAUUAGCAUAAAGCUACAUAUACACAAAACUGUUUCCAGUAAGGCUGCAAGACUAAAAGCAUUUUAAAAUAGUCUUAAUUUAAGUAUUGAAACUAGAUUUUGGACACUUCCAGUACACUAUUGUGGGACCUUUGAGACAUCUUCAAAAUUGGUGAAGUACACAAUGAUAUAUUUGUGUC